RNAcentral lists this ribosomal RNA (253 nucleotides) under uncultured bacterium. RNAcentral's name for it is "partial 16S ribosomal RNA". It matches the Rfam family "Bacterial small subunit ribosomal RNA", at positions 524 to 776 of the family's 1533-position model. The record is from RNAcentral.
UACGGAGGGUGCAAGCGUUAAUCGGAAUUACUGGGCGUAAAGCGCGCGUAGGCGGUUUUUUAAGUCGGAUGUGAAAGCCCCGGGCUCAACCUGGGAACUGCGUCCGAUACUGGAAGACUAGAAUGCGGGAGAGGGAGGUAGAAUUCCAUGUGUAGCAGUGAAAUGCGUAGAUAUAUGGAGGAAUACCAGUGGCGAAGGCGGCCUCCUGGCUCGACAUUGACGCUGAGGUGCGAAAGCGUGGGGAGCAAACGGG